This 5222-nucleotide long non-coding RNA is filed under the name Zostera marina. RNAcentral's name for it is "long non-coding RNA (ZMAR_LNC001869)". The record is from RNAcentral. Lineage: Eukaryota; Viridiplantae; Streptophyta; Magnoliopsida; Alismatales; Zosteraceae.
UUUGACGGGAUUAAUUCUGUCAAAUUUGGAUUAUGAACUAUUACUUCCUCUGUAGGUACUAGCUUGUGCCUUGACCUGUGUCUUAGAAAAUUAUCAGUACCCAAAGCUUUCGCGAAGCCAUCUGCAUACUUUAAUUUUGAUGGUAUGUAUUCUACUUUUAAGAUUCCUUUGCUUAUCAAUUCUCUUACAAAGUAGUAACUUAUUUCUAUGUGUCUUGAUCUAGAGGUGAUUGUUGGAUUUUUAGUCAUGAAUAUUGCUGAUUUACUAUCACAUAAUAGUCUUGGAGGAUUCUUCAAUUUUAUUUCCAAUUCUCUUAGAAGAUAACAGUACCAUCUUAACUCUGAGGUGACAUGAGCCAUGGCUUUGAACUCUGCCUCUGUACUUGAAUUAGAGACAGCUGGUUGUUUCUUUGCAGACCAUGAAAGUAAAUUUCCCCAUACCAAAUACUAGAGCCUGUGAUGGAUCUUCUAUCAUAUGUUCCUCUCCAAUCAGAAUCUGUGUAGGCUGCUAAAUCUGGAAAUGCUUCUGAGUUUCUUGUAAUUCUCAAGCCCAAGUAUUCAGUUCCUCUUAAGUAUCUGAAUAUCCUUUUUAUUGCAUUUAAAUGACCCUCUUUAUGAUUUUGGAAAAAUUGACACACUUGAUUAAUAGGGAAUGACAAGUCUAGUCUGAUCAGUGUUAGAUAUUGCAGACUUCCUACCAUACUUCUGUAGCCUGUGAUAUCUUUCACAUCUUCCCCCAUAUCUGCUUGUAACUUCGUAGAUAGUGUUAUGGGAGUCCUUACUGGAUUAGACAGAUGAUAUCCUACUUUUUUAAUAUCUCUUGUGUAUAAUUUUGUUGUGAAAGUACCAUAUUUUCUCCUUGGUAUAUGCAUUCAAUGCCUAGAAAGAAACUGAGUUUCCCCAUAUCUCUACAUUGAAAGGUGGUACAAAUAUUUUUUAUGAAUUCUGAUAUCUUUUGCAUAUAUGUUCCUGUCACAAUUAUAUCAUCAACAUAUAUUAAGACCAUCAAUUUUGAUUCACCUGAAUUUUUGUAAAAAAGAGAGGCAUCUGCAUUUGAAUUCUUAAAUUCUUGAGAUAUAAGUUGCUCCUGUAAUCUGAGGUACCAAGCUCUAGGAGCUUGCUUGAGGCCAUACAAGGCUUUCUGUAGUAGGCACACAUCUUGGGGUCUUGUCUCAUCUUCAAAGCCCUUAGGCUGCUUCAUAUAGACUGUCUCCUGUAAAUACCCAUUUAAAAAUGCAUUCUUGAUGUCCAAUUGCCUUAAUGUCCAUCCAUGACUGACUGCUAAUGAUAAUAUGGUUCUUAUUGUUGAAAUUUUAACCACUGGGCUAUAGGUAUACUGAAAGUCUAUUCCUUCCUCUUGGUUGCAUCCUUGAGCAACCAACCUUGCUUUGUAUCUUUCUAUUGUUCCAUCUGAUUUCCUCUUUAUCUUAUACACCCACCUAGAGCCAAUUAUGUUCAUGUAAUUUUCCUUCUUUACUAGAGUCCAGGUAUUAUUUUCUUUUAUAGCUUUUAUUUCUUCUUCCAUGGCUUUCCUCCAGCAUUCAUACUUAUUAGCUUGUGAAAAAAAUUGAGGCUCACAACAUUCAUUAGAAACAUAUGUAUUACAGACAAAAUCUUUAUAUUUAGUGGAUGGAAUUUUUAAUCUAUGUGAUCUUCCCAAUUCUGACGAAAUGUUCUGUCAUGAUGGUCAGAACCAGAUGGGUUAUGACUUGUAUUUAAGUCCAAGUCUGCCCUGCUCUCAGAAUUUACAAUAGAAAUCGGUUGUAUGUUAUGUUGAACAUCAGAACUUUGAUUAAUAGUAUCUGUAUUAGUAGAUAUACUUUGUUCAGAUUGAUUUGUGUUAGAAAGUUGAUCAGGAGGAUCCCUUUCUAAGCUUUCACUGUCUAUAAUCAUCUGUUGAUUGGAUGAUUCAAUGACUUGUGGGACUGGAGCUGGAAUUUGUUUUUGUGAUAUUGUUAGAAAGUCUAAGGGUUUUCUUUUUUGAUUUUGGGUUUCUACAUUCCUUGAUGGAAUAUCAAGGAAAGGGAAAGACACUUCAUCGAAAAUUACAUCUCUACAUAUUCUUAUAUCUCUGGUUUCUAUGUCCAAGCACCUGUAGCCUUUCUGUUGUGUAGCAUAACCCAAGAAGACACAUGCCUUUGAUUUUGGCAUCAAUUUAUUCCUUCCAAUUCUUGGUAAUAAAGGAAAGCAUUUGCAUCCAAUUGUCUUUAAUUCACUGUAAUCAGGUAUUUUAUUUAGUAACACCUCAUAUGGACUUUUGUUCUCCAAUGUUGGUGUCUUGAUUUUGUUAAUCAAAUAGACUGCUGAAGAGAAUAUUUCUGGCCAAUACUCAUGAGGGAUACCUGAUUUUAUGAGCAAACACCUUCCAACCUCAAUUAUUUGUCUAUGUCUCCUUUUUACAAGUCCAUUCUGUUUUGGAGUGUAUGGACAUGACAUUCUAUGACCAAUUCCCAUUUUCUCUAAGUAUUCUCUGAAUCUAAUGUUCACAAAUUCUCCUCCCUGAUCUGUUUGUACUUCUCCUAUUUUUAAAUCAAAAAAUCUCUCUACUUGUACAUGAAACUUCAGAAAGACUGAUGUAAAAACUGAUUUAUUAAUGAUUGGAUAAAACCAAUUAAAUCUAGUACAUUCAUCAACAAUUGAUAUGUAAAAUCUAUAGUUAUUUACAGAUGUAGUUGGAGAUGGACCCCAAGGAUCUAUAUGUAAAACUUGCAGUGGUUGAGUAGCUAAAUUCUCCCUUCUUUUAUAAGGUAGCUGAUGUGCCUUUCCCAAAGGACAGACUGAACAGAAUGGAUUCUUCUUUUUUUUGCUGGGUUCUAUCAUUAAUUCUGAGGAUAAUUGAUUUAAAACUGUAUCAGAAGGGUGUCCCAGCAUUUCAUGCCAUUUUUCCUUAGUAACCCUUACUCCAUAACAUGCUUGCAUAUCUAAGUAUAGAGGAUAUAGACCUUCUUUACUAAUGCCAGAAAAUAAUAUCUCCAUAGUUUCCCGGUCCUUAAUCAAAAAAUUCAUAUUGUUAAAAAUCACCAAACAAUUUAAAUCUCUAGAGAGUUUUUGUAUAGACAAUAGAUUUUUCUGUAAACCCUGGCACACAUAAUACUCCCUCUAAAAUAAAAUUUUCCCUCCUGAUUUUAAGUUAUUCUCCCUCUAUAAGUGACAGGUAAAUGCUCGCCACUACCUAGCUACCACUACAUAUUGAUUACCUGGAGAUGCUUCAUAUGUUGAAAAAGCUCCUAUAUCUGAUGUCAUGUGGCUGGAUGCUCCUGAAUCCAGGCACCAGAAAUUAUCAUUUUGUGGGGCUGCUGCUGACAUUGCUGAUUCUAGCUGUCCAUAACUCUCAUGAGGACCUUCUGAUGACUGUAUUGGAGCUACGGUUGUAGUGAAAGCUGAAUAGUUGGCUAUGUCUGAGCAUUGUUUUGCCAAAUGUCCCUUUUUAUGACAUAUUUGGCAAUUUUGGGACUGAUCUAAUGAAGAGGGUGUUGAAAUCAUAGGUUGUAGCUUGGUUUUUGGUUGAUUUAAUUGGUACUGACUGGGCAUUGUUUGAUUAGGUGGUUGAUAAUGAUUUUGGGGUGAUUGAUGAUAAUUUUGAGGUGGUGGUGGUUGAUAAUUGUAUUGAUUUUGGUGAGAAGCCUGAUAAGGUCUGUAUCCUAGUCGAGUUUGUGACUGGUAGGGUGGAGGUGGGCUGUUGUAAUAGUGUCCUCUGUACUAAUUUUGUUGAUAAUAGUUUUGUGGUUGGUAAGGUGGAGGUUGGUUGUAAUUUUGAUAACUUGGGUUAUAUUGUCCUCUAUUCUGAUUGUUGUAAUUCUGGUUAUUGUAUGGUCUUCCUCUACCAUAAUUCCCUCUAUAUUGAGAAGCCAUGGCAAUGUUUACUUGAUUUUCAUCAUUGAUUUUCUUUACUAGCAGUUCUUCACCAAGUAGUAGAUCAGUCAGUUCAUCAAAAGAAAUUACUCCCCUGCUCCUCACAGUAGUUAGUAAACAUCUGUAUUCUGAGUUCAAACCUCCCAGAAUAUAAUCUUUCAAACAUGUUUCAGUUAGAGUCUCUCCUGUGUAUGAUAAGGACUCCACCAGUCCUUUAACUCUAACUAUAUAAUCCUGCAUUGAUUCAGUACCUAAUUUCUUUAGGGUUCUUAACUGUUCCUUGAUUACAGUUACCUGUGUAUUGCUUACUGGUGAUAAAAUUUUCUCCAGAUGUAUCCACCCUUUAUAAGCUGAUUUACAUUUAAGUAGCAUAAGCUGGUACUGAUCAAUUUGCUACUGUAACUUUAAUCCAUCCCAAGAUUAAAUCAUCAUCUGCCAUCCAAGUUUCAUAUGCAGGAUUAUCCCUUUUAUCUGCUAGUUUAGGACUUAGGCAGGAGCUAGUGCCAUUUAUAUACUUUAUAAAUUUGUGUGCUCUUAAAGCACGCUCAAAUUGAUUUCGCCACGAUAAAUAAUUUCCUCUCUCAAGCUUGUCUGGUACCAUUGAAAAAAUAUUAUAUGAGACGUGUCCCAUGUGUGUCUGAACUCGUGGUGUAUUAUCUAUUGGGGCAGAUGUAGCCAUGUCUACCUUUAACACAAGUUUCUGUAGAGAUUUAAUUUCACAAAGAGUUUAUUCAAAAGGAGGUAUCUAAUUCUAUAUGAUUUAUAUCCCAAGACUCCUUAGACAACUGAUACCAUGUGAAAAUUUGAGGUACGACAGAUCAUAUCUAUCUAUUAAAAUACAGAAUGAAACAUGAACAAUUUACAGUUUACAAGAUUAAUCUGAAAGUCAAGAAGUUAUUCUUAUAGAAUACAAAUUAGGAAAACAAUUGAUAGCAAACUAGGAAAACAAUUACAAACUAGGAAUUACUGAGUAUGAUUAUUACAAACUAGGAAAAACAGUUUAGACAUAAUUUAAUAACUAUUCAAUCGUUCGGAGAAGAAGCUCAAUUGAGCGAAGGUGACGAUUGAAUCAAAAGACAGAGUAAAAAUGAAUUUAAAAGUAUCUGAAAUUAUUGAAAGAUUACUAUGAUUAGAAAAAGAUUACCAAAGAGAGAAAUGAAGGAAUCAAAUUGCUAAGAGUGCGUGAACUGGGAAUGAUCAAAUUGAUUAAAAACUCACAACUUGAAAAACCGGAAUUGAAUGAAUUCCCUGAUUGCAGUAGUUGAUAAUAUAUUUCAUUGUAUCUUAAAAAUCAGUUGGAGUCAAUAACUGUUUAACUGAUAUUUUUUCUUUCUUUCUCUAAAUUGGUUAAUUUUGGAUUUCCCAAAUUAG